RNAcentral lists this ribosomal RNA (576 nucleotides) under uncultured bacterium. RNAcentral's name for it is "partial 16S ribosomal RNA". It matches the Rfam family "Bacterial small subunit ribosomal RNA", at positions 355 to 924 of the family's 1533-position model. The record is from RNAcentral.
UGGGGAAUUUUGGACAAUGGGGGAAACCCUGAUCCAGCCAUCCCGCGUGUGCGAUGAAGGCCUUCGGGUUGUAAAGCACUUUUGGCAGGAAAGAAACGUCGCGGGUUAAUACCCCGCGGAACUGACGGUACCUGCAGAAUAAGCACCGGCUAACUACGUGCCAGCAGCCGCGGUAAUACGUAGGGUGCAAGCGUUAAUCGGAAUUACUGGGCGUAAAGCGUGCGCAGGCGGUUCGGAAAGAAAGAUGUGAAAUCCCAGAGCUUAACUUUGGAACUGCAUUUUUAACUACCGGGCUAGAGUGUGUCAGAGGGAGGUGGAAUUCCGCGUGUAGCAGUGAAAUGCGUAGAUAUGCGGAGGAACACCGAUGGCGAAGGCAGCCUCCUGGGAUAACACUGACGCUCAUGCACGAAAGCGUGGGGAGCAAACAGGAUUAGAUACCCUGGUAGUCCACGCCCUAAACGAUGUCAACUAGCUGUUGGGGUCUUCGGACCUUGGUAGCGCAGCUAACGCGUGAAGUUGACCGCCUGGGGAGUACGGUCGCAAGAUUAAAACUCAAAGGAAUUGACGGGGUCGAUA